UACCCUGUAUCAAGGCCUGCACACUGCAC
Molecule: non-coding RNA, 29 nt
Filed under: Mus musculus (house mouse)
Lineage: Eukaryota; Metazoa; Chordata; Mammalia; Rodentia; Muridae
Source: RNAcentral